UUGAUGAUGAUGAUACCCUCGU
RNAcentral lists this non-coding RNA (22 nucleotides) under Drosophila melanogaster (fruit fly). Lineage: Eukaryota; Metazoa; Arthropoda; Insecta; Diptera; Drosophilidae. The record is from RNAcentral.